RNAcentral lists this ribosomal RNA (492 nucleotides) under uncultured bacterium. RNAcentral describes it as "partial 16S ribosomal RNA". It matches the Rfam family "Bacterial small subunit ribosomal RNA", at positions 28 to 507 of the family's 1533-position model. The record is from RNAcentral.
GACGAACGCUGGUGGCGUGCUUAACACAUGCAAGUCGAACGGAAAGGCCCCCACUUUUUUGGUGGGGGUGCUCGAGUGGCGAACGGGUGAGUAACACGUGGGUGAUCUGCCCUGUACUUCGGGAUAAGCUUGGGAAACUGGGUCUAAUACCGGAUAGGACCAUGGUUUAGUGUCUCAUGGUGGAAAAAUUAUUGUUUUGGUGCAGGAUGAGCUCGCGGCCUAUCAGCUUGUUGGUGGGGUAAUGGCCUACCAAGGCGUCGACGGGUAGCCGGCCUGAGAGGGUGGACGGCCACAUUGGGACUGAGAUACGGCCCAGACUCCUACGGGAGGCAGCAGUGGGGAAUAUUGCACAAUGGGCGCAAGCCUGAUGCAGCGACGCCGCGUGGGGGAUGACGGCCUUCGGGUGGUAAACUCCUUUCGUUAGGGACGAAGCCGCACCUUUUUUGGGUGUGGUGACGGUACCUUUGUUAAGAAGCACCGGCUAACUACGUG